ACAUCUAAGUACCCGGAGGAAGAGAAAGCAAAUGCGAUUCCCUGAGUAGCGGCGAGCGAAACGGGAACAGCCCAAACCAAGAGGCUUGCCUCUUGGGGUUGUAGGACACUCUGUACGGAGUUGCAAAGAACGAGGUAGAUGAAGAGGUCUGGAAAGGCCCGCCAUAGGAGGUAACAGCCCUGUAGUCAAACUUCGUUCUCUCCUGAGUGGAUCCUGAGUACGGCGGAACACGUGAAAUUCCGUCGGAAUCC
This 251-nucleotide ribosomal RNA is filed under the name Bacillus licheniformis. Its description in RNAcentral is "partial 23S ribosomal RNA". It matches the Rfam family "Bacterial large subunit ribosomal RNA", at positions 198 to 445 of the family's 2925-position model. The record is from RNAcentral. Lineage: Bacteria; Bacillati; Bacillota; Bacilli; Caryophanales; Bacillaceae.